RNAcentral lists this ribosomal RNA (406 nucleotides) under uncultured bacterium. RNAcentral describes it as "partial 16S ribosomal RNA". It matches the Rfam family "Bacterial small subunit ribosomal RNA", at positions 30 to 526 of the family's 1533-position model. The record is from RNAcentral.
AUUGAACGCUGGCGGCAGGCCUAACACAUGCAAGUCGAGCGAGCGGCGGACGGGUGAGUAAUGUAUGGGGAACUGCCCGAUGGAGGGGGAUAACUACUGGAAACGGUGGCUAAUACCGCAUACCAUCAGAUGAACCCAUAUGGGAUUAGCUAGUAGGUGAGGUAACGGCUUACCUAGGCGACGAUCCCUAGCGGGUCUGAGAGGAUGAUCAGCCACACUGGAACUGGGACACGGUCCAGACUCCUACGGGAGGCAGCAGUGGGGAAUAUUGCACAAUGGGCGCAAGCCUGAUACAGCCAUGCCGCGUGUGUGAAGAAGGCCUUCGGGUUGUAAAGCACUUUCAGCGGGGAGGCGUUACCCGCAGAAGAAGCACCGGCUAACUCCGUGCCAGCCGCCGCGGUAAUAC